UACGGAGGGUGCAAGCGUUAUCCGGAUUCACUGGGUUUAAAGGGUGCGUAGGUGGGAAUGUAAGUCAGUGGUGAAAUCUCCGUGCUUAACAUGGAAACUGCCAUUGAUACUAUGUUUCUUGAAUUUUCUGGAGGUAAGCGGAAUAUGUCAUGUAGCGGUGAAAUGCUUAGAUAUGACAUAGAACACCAAUUGCGAAGGCAGCUUGCUUCAGGGAUAUUGACACUGAGGCACGAAAGCGUGGGGAUCAAACAGG
Molecule: ribosomal RNA, 253 nt
Filed under: uncultured bacterium
Lineage: Bacteria
Description: partial 16S ribosomal RNA
Rfam family: Bacterial small subunit ribosomal RNA
Source: RNAcentral